This 241-nucleotide ribosomal RNA is filed under the name Salmonella enterica subsp. enterica serovar Derby. RNAcentral's name for it is "partial 23S ribosomal RNA". It matches the Rfam family "Bacterial large subunit ribosomal RNA", at positions 2080 to 2320 of the family's 2925-position model. The record is from RNAcentral. Lineage: Bacteria; Pseudomonadati; Pseudomonadota; Gammaproteobacteria; Enterobacterales; Enterobacteriaceae.
ACGGAAAGACCCCGUGAACCUUUACUAUAGCUUGACACUGAACAUUGAGCCUUGAUGUGUAGGAUAGGUGGGAGGCUUUGAAGUGUGGACGCCAGUCUGCAUGGAGCCGACCUUGAAAUACCACCCUUUAAUGUUUGAUGUUCUAACGUGGACCCGUAAUCCGGGUUGCGGACAGUGUCUGGUGGGUAGUUUGACUGGGGCGGUCUCCUCCUAAAGAGUAACGGAGGAGCACGAAGGUUGG